GGGCCCGCACAAGCGGCGGAGCAUGUUGCUUAAUUCGAUGCAACGCGAAGAACCUUACCUAGGCUUGACAUGCACGGAAAUCUCGCAGAGAUGCGGGGUCCGUAAGGGCCGUGCACAGGUGGUGCAUGGUUGUCGUCAGCUCGUGUCGUGAGAUGUUGGGUUAAGUCCCGCAACGAGCGCAACCCUCGUUCUAUGUUGCCAGCACGUCAUGGUGGGGACUCAUAGGAGACUGCCGGGGUCAACUCGGGGGAAGGUGGGGAUGACGUCAAAUCAUCAUGCCCCUUAUGUCUUGGGCUUCACACAUGCUACAAUGGCCUAUACAGAGGGCUGCGAAAUCGCAAGAUGGAGCGAAUCCCAAAAAGCCGGUCUCAGUUCGGAUUGGGGUCUGCAACUCGACCCCAUGAAGUCGGAGUCGCUAGUAAUCGCAGA
RNAcentral lists this ribosomal RNA (429 nucleotides) under uncultured Actinomycetes bacterium. RNAcentral describes it as "bacterial SSU rRNA". It matches the Rfam family "Bacterial small subunit ribosomal RNA", at positions 917 to 1348 of the family's 1533-position model. The record is from RNAcentral. Lineage: Bacteria; Bacillati; Actinomycetota; Actinomycetes.